Molecule: long non-coding RNA, 483 nt
Organism: Terrapene triunguis (Three-toed box turtle)
Lineage: Eukaryota; Metazoa; Chordata; Testudines; Emydidae
Exons: 3
Source: RefSeq, a predicted model, not a curated record
GACACCGAGGGGACCCAGAAAGCUGAGGUGGUUCCUUCCUUCAGAGAGCACUUUUAAGGGCUUGCCUGCUUGGGGAGGCAGUGAUCUGUUCAAGGGAAGGGGAGGUGUGACUCAUCUAUUGACCAAUCAAGAAAACAAUUACUUUUUCCUUGAGAUUCACCAAUAUAGCCAUCAGUUGGAGACUGAAUGUCCUACAAGUUGAUGUCUUCCAUGCUUCUGAGGGGGACACGCUUGUGAUGUCACCCAAUUUUUAAUUUGCUACGUGCUCAAGGUAUGGUGGCCGUGUUGGUCAAUUAGCUUGUACUAGAAGUCGGGGGGGAGGGAGACUUUAUCAUUUAAUACUUAUUUGGAGACACUAUGGCCCAGUGGAUAGCGCACUGGACUGGAUCUCAGGAGAUCUGGGUUCUAUACCUGACUGCCACUGGCCUGCUGGGAGAGCUUGAGCAAGUCACCUGUAAAAUAAGCAUAAUGAUGCUGACCUCC